GAGGAGACGGUGACCAGGGUUCCCUGGCCCCAGUAGUCAAAGUAAUGUGGUUUCUCACACUGUGUCUCUCGCACAGUAAUACACGGCCGUGUCCUCAGAUCUCAGGCUGCUCAGCUCCAUGUAGACUGUGCUCGUGGACGUGUCCCUGGUCAUGGUGACUCUGCCCUGGAACUUCUGUGCGUAGCUUGUGCUACCACCACUAGGGUUGAUUAUUCCCAUCCACUCAAGCCCUUGUCCAGGGGCCUGUCGCACCCAGUGCAUAUAGUAGCUGGUGAAGGUGUAUCCAGAUGCCUUGCAGGAAACCUUCACUGAGGCCCCAGGCUUCUUCACCUCAGCCCCAGACUGCACCAGCUGCACCUGGGAGUG
RNAcentral lists this long non-coding RNA (366 nucleotides) under Homo sapiens (human). RNAcentral's name for it is "non-protein coding lnc-TMEM121-2:24". The record is from RNAcentral. Lineage: Eukaryota; Metazoa; Chordata; Mammalia; Primates; Hominidae.